This 253-nucleotide ribosomal RNA is filed under the name uncultured bacterium. RNAcentral's name for it is "partial 16S ribosomal RNA". It matches the Rfam family "Bacterial small subunit ribosomal RNA", at positions 524 to 776 of the family's 1533-position model. The record is from RNAcentral.
CACGUAGGGUGCGAGCGUUGUCCGGAAUUAUUGGGCGUAAAGAGCUCGUAGGCGGUGUGUCGCGUCGGCCGUGAAAACACCGGGCUUAACUCGGUGCUUGCUUUCGAUACGGGCAGACUAGAGGUAUGCAGGGGAGAACGGAAUUCCUGGUGUAGCGGUGAAAUGCGCAGAUAUCAGGAGGAACACCGGUGGCGAAGGCGGUUCUCUGGGCAUUACCUGACGCUGAGGAGCGAAAGUGUGGGGAGCGAACAGG